Molecule: long non-coding RNA, 463 nt
Organism: Oncorhynchus kisutch (coho salmon)
Lineage: Eukaryota; Metazoa; Chordata; Actinopteri; Salmoniformes; Salmonidae
Exons: 3
Source: RefSeq, a predicted model, not a curated record
GGGAAGUACAAAGUUCCAUCUUGAAUUGAUGCGUAGACCGACAUGACAGUAGCCUAAGCUUAAAGCUACAGUCUGAGAUCUGGGAAUAAUGGAGGAUCAGAUGGUGACAAGGGUCUCAGCAGGGUCCGGCAGGCCAGGGAAGACCAGUCUGACAGAGCAACAGUCUUCCAACCACCUUCCACCUCCCCACCACCACCAACUGAAGGCCCGUCAUCGGAUCUCCAUUCUCCCAGUGAGGGGGUUCGAUGCCAGCUGCCCAGCAUCUGAGGAGCAUUCCUCUGAGACGAGGCCUACGCCUACCCCAAACUAUUCAAUAAAAUUACAUAUUGUAUUCUAUCUCUGUUGUCAUUCAGUUUUGCCUGCAAUCAGUUUAUUAAAUUGAUUGCAGAACACUAGUUGAACCAAGAUGCUAACAGCACACUCAGUGAAAGCAUAGGAAAAGUUUGAGUGUGAAAUAAUUCCG